Molecule: ribosomal RNA, 406 nt
Filed under: uncultured bacterium
Lineage: Bacteria
Description: partial 16S ribosomal RNA
Rfam family: Bacterial small subunit ribosomal RNA
Source: RNAcentral
AUUGAACGCUGGCGGCAGGCCUAACACAUGCAAGUCGAACGAGUGGCGGACGGGUGAGUAAUGUCUGGGAAAAUGCCUGAGGGAGGGGGAUAACGACCGGAAACGGUAGCUAAUACCGCAUACCAUCAGAUGUGCCCAGAUGGGAUUAGCUUGCUGGGGGGGUGACGGCUCACCAAGGCGACGAACCCUAGCUGGUCUGAGAGGAUGACCAGCCACGCGGGAACUGAGACACGGUCCAUACUCCUACGGGUGGCAGCAGUGGGGAAUAUUGCACAAGAGGCGAAAGCCUGCUGCAGCCAUGCCGCGUGUAUGUAGGAGGCCUUCGGGUUGUAAAGUACUUUCAGCGGGGAGGCGUUACCCGCAGAAUAAGCACCGGCUAACUCCGUGCCAGCAGCCGCGGUAAUAG